GCAUUAGGGUUUCACUAUUUUUUUACGCUAUUCCGGAUGCAUGCUUUUGUUCUAUUUGCUAUAUAUUUUAGUCAGUAUAUCCAAGUAAAACAUUUAAAUCCAAAGUGCAACAACCACCCACCCAAAACUUAGUGCUACUAUCAAAUA
Long non-coding RNA from Juglans microcarpa x Juglans regia, 147 nucleotides. RefSeq lists it as uncharacterized. The record is from RefSeq and is a predicted model, not a curated record. The transcript is spliced from 3 exons. NCBI's taxonomy places the organism in Eukaryota, Viridiplantae, Streptophyta, Magnoliopsida, Fagales, Juglandaceae.